AGGCGGAGGAUCUGAUGAAACGAAAGGCCGCCGAUGGAAAAGCAGCGCCCGCCUCAGUCAAGUGCUCAAGCGCUAUGUCAUUACUCUCUUCUCCCUCCAUGGACAAUACUACCCCCCACCCCACCCACCCCUGCAACACGGAAAAGUGUACGCGGCACAACUGUAGGCACUUGUAAUCACCACCACCACCACUCCUGCUUUUGCUUGCUCCUCCGGCAAGGUCGUCGGCGCUUCAUUAGUGAUUUCCUCUGGUCUGGCUCCAUCUUGAAGCUACGAUCCAAGCCUCUUAUAGAUCCACAUGCCAGGAUAUCGAUCGAUCUGAUCGAGCGCUUGGCAAGAGAUGCAAAGAGCG
Molecule: unclassified non-coding RNA, 352 nt
Filed under: Zea mays
Lineage: Eukaryota; Viridiplantae; Streptophyta; Magnoliopsida; Poales; Poaceae
Description: misc RNA Zm00001eb089810
Source: RNAcentral